RNAcentral lists this transfer RNA (73 nucleotides) under Stegodyphus mimosarum. It matches the Rfam family "tRNA". From Rfam's summary of the family: Transfer RNA (tRNA) molecules are approximately 80 nucleotides in length. The record is from Rfam by way of RNAcentral. Lineage: Eukaryota; Metazoa; Arthropoda; Arachnida; Araneae; Eresidae.
GCCUUCGUGGUGUAGUGGGCAGCACACUCGGAGUGUAACUGAGAGGUCCGUGGUUCGAUUCCCGGCGAACACG